GCAUUAUGUUCAGGACGGUACGA
This 23-nucleotide small nuclear RNA is filed under the name Arabidopsis thaliana (thale cress). Its description in RNAcentral is "snRNA_03965". Lineage: Eukaryota; Viridiplantae; Streptophyta; Magnoliopsida; Brassicales; Brassicaceae. The record is from RNAcentral.